UGCUGGAUGGCGCAGUGGUUAAUGCUUCUGCCUAGUAAGCAUGAGACCCCGGGUUCGAAACCCGGUCUGGUAC
Non-coding RNA from Schistocerca gregaria, 73 nucleotides. NCBI's taxonomy places the organism in Eukaryota, Metazoa, Arthropoda, Insecta, Orthoptera, Acrididae. The record is from the annotation of a RefSeq genome assembly.